Molecule: ribosomal RNA, 286 nt
Filed under: uncultured bacterium
Lineage: Bacteria
Description: partial 16S ribosomal RNA
Rfam family: Bacterial small subunit ribosomal RNA
Source: RNAcentral
UGCCUACGGGAGGCAGCAGUGGGGAAUAUUGCACAAUGGGGGGAACCCUGAUGCAGCGACGCCGCGUGGGCGAUGGAGUAUUUCGGUAUGUAAAGCCCUAUCGGCAGGGAAGAAGCUGACAGUACCUGACUAAGAAGCCCCGGCUAACUACGUGCCAGCCGCCGCGGUAAUACGUAGGGGGCAAGCGUUAUCCGGAUUUACUGGGUGUAAAGGGAGCGUAGACGGUAUGGCAAGUCUGAAGUGAAAGGCCCGGGCUCAACCUGGGUAUUGCUUUGGAAACUGUUAA